GCUUUCCAUUAAUUUUUUCUUCCGUCAGCCAUCCUGGUUCUAUUACUGUUGCCUUCCCCUUGCCGUUGUGAUUGUUUUCGGAUCUAGGAAGCUUCUGUUUUGCCACCUUUUAGUUCUAGUUCUUUUUCUUCUGAGCCGGCCGUUUCCAAAUUAACGGCUCAGAUAUCCCAAUCCACCAACCGACUGCCACCGUCGAUGACAAUAAAAAUAACAGAGUAGUUGACACUUCAAACAACAUUGAAC
RNAcentral lists this long non-coding RNA (243 nucleotides) under Linum usitatissimum (flax). Its description in RNAcentral is "long non-coding RNA (LUSI_LNC004898)". Lineage: Eukaryota; Viridiplantae; Streptophyta; Magnoliopsida; Malpighiales; Linaceae. The record is from RNAcentral.